UCAUCUUCUUGUUUCUUUAAGAUUCACCUGACCCACAAACAUUUUCAAUCCGCACACUCCAAUUUCUGAAGGUAAUUUCUUCAAUCCCAUUCAAUUUGCUUUCAUUCAAUUACUUUUCAAUUGCAGAAAUUUUAUGACCGGAUGAAAUCAAUACCAACAACAUCUGUCAAUACUUCAUUGCUGCUUACAAAAGCUCAAGACUCCAACUAAAUUCAGUAACUUCAUUCACUCUCUCUUUUGUCUUUUUCAUAUGAACAACCAAGCGAUCUUUUCCUUUUGUUACAGAAAAUCUCAAACAAAAGACAGCAACACUCAAGAAGAAAGGUUCAAGUAACCAAGGGCAGUAGAGAAGAGCAAAGCAAGCACUGAAUAUCUACUUCGAAGUGGGCUUUAUUUUGCUAAAAUCUAUCUUGAGUUAUAUAAGCUCUGAUAUUUCAUGAAAAUAUCUGUUUAUCUAAUAUAAAUGUUUUUAUGUGCGUUAUGUAUUGUUUAAUGCUCGUAUAAGCAUCGAUCGAGAUUCUCAUUUGGCUUAACACGUUAGAUGAGGAUUGUGUACACAAGGAUAGUAGCUCGGUGGGUUGAUCACCAUCGUGCACUAACAAAGCUAAGCAGGCGUUAUAAGGGUGCUCCUGGACACGUUCCAAAGCACAAAUGAUGAUAUGUUCCAUCUGGGUAGCGUCCCGGGUUCACUUAAGCGGCGGUAAACGAUCCGACGGUGGCUAAAGGCCCGGGAUUAUAAGCAGCGAGUAACAAUCGAACGUCGCAUGGCGCGCCACUUAAUAAGAAAAAGUUUUAUCAUACUUAGAAGUGGAUUUCUGUUUUUAAACCUUAUGAGUUAUGAUUGUGAUAUUGGAUAAACUGCUUUGAUUAUUUCAUAAAAUAUUUUAGAAA
Salvia miltiorrhiza (redroot sage) is the source of this 891-nucleotide long non-coding RNA. RefSeq lists it as uncharacterized. The transcript is spliced from 2 exons. Lineage: Eukaryota; Viridiplantae; Streptophyta; Magnoliopsida; Lamiales; Lamiaceae. The record is from RefSeq and is a predicted model, not a curated record.